GGGCUUGUGGUCUAGGGGUAUGAUGCUCGCUUCGCAUGUUCAAUUCUGUUGACCUGUAGAGUGCGAGAGGUCCCGGGUUCAAUUCCCGGCGAGUCCA
RNAcentral lists this transfer RNA (97 nucleotides) under Penicillium arizonense. It matches the Rfam family "tRNA". Rfam says of the family: Transfer RNA (tRNA) molecules are approximately 80 nucleotides in length. Their secondary structure includes four short double-helical elements and three loops (D, anti-codon, and T loops). Lineage: Eukaryota; Fungi; Ascomycota; Eurotiomycetes; Eurotiales; Aspergillaceae. The record is from Rfam by way of RNAcentral.